GUAAAAUUUGAUGUUGGGUUAGGAUUGUUUUGCCCAUGAAUGUAUGCCACAGAUAAGCUACUUGAACUUUCUAAAGCCACAGGUAUCUUUCUCUGACCUCCAGGAUUGGAGUGCAGCUCCACAUUGGUCCGCCUGAAGUCCACCUGGUCUGUCAAGGAGGCCAAGGCUCAGAAAGGAAAAGAACAAGAGCAGAGCCAUCCAACUGGGGCAGGCUUGGAAUGGACAGAACCAUUUGGUUUGGUUUCAAGACUAAUACCCUUAGCCACCGUUCUUCCCUGCCUCCAAGUGACACCCCCAAAGAACUGUCCUGGCACCACCUCCUGGGGAGCAGCAGCCCAUCCCUCAUCGGCAGCUCCAACCGUCCACAGAAAGGGGGGAGAACAGGAAGAGCCGGAAGUCUCACGGUGGCAGAUCCUGUGAAUAUGGAUGAGGACACAGUGGCAUGUUUACAUGAGCUGCCUUUCCUUUGGAAGACACUUGGCAACAUCAUGUACCAUAUUUUUGAUCAUACCUCAUAAAGACAUGCAGGAAGAGAGGACUUCCAGAAGAGAUUUAGAAAGUGGCAGAAGGAUAGGCUAAGGAGGGAGGAGGAUUAUGAGGGGGACUCAUGGGAAAUGUGUCUUUUUCUGUAAUAAUUGAAAACAACUGUAACAUUCAUUGCCUAGUUCAGUCACACCUCAUGUGCUGUUUUCUCCUCCGCACUGACUUUCACAUCCCCAUGCCCACUGUUCCUUCACCUUCAAGGGACUCAGGGGAGGCUCCUGGGCAGGGGAUUUAUACAGGGUCAGGUCUGGGAAUCAUGCAGCAGCAGCAUUUGGUAGGAAUGGUUUAGUCUUGAGCCCUUCAAGAGGAAACUCUGAAAACAAGACGUAAAACGAGACAUUUAUGGAACCAAAGGAAUUAAAAAGUGCACCUCCUACACAUCCAUUCAGGUAAUACUCAUGAGGUCUGGACUGUUGGACUCAUUUUCCUUUGGAGACACCAAAGCUCAGAGUCCAAGUAACUUCCUGAGUUCUACCAGAAAGAGAGGUGAAGUCAGGCUUUGGAACCACAUAGGAUUGACUGCAAUGCCAUGCCUUCCCCUUGGUGGAAGGAAUGAUGAAUAUUAAGAGUGUAAGCCAAGAAAUCAUAAGAUAAAAGCAAAGUGGAAGGAAUAUAGACUUGGGAUUUUCAAACAAGAAGUAGAUCAUGACUUGAUAUUCUUUGGGGUAGAUAAGCAGGGUCAGAGAAAGUUCAGCAUGCAUCAGGGUGUUUGUAAAUUUUGUGAUUGCACUGCUAUAUCCUGGUCAAGAAGCAAAACAAACAAUCUAGUUUCCCCAAGCUUGCAAAGUAUUGCUAGGUCGCAGAAAACUCUCUAACAGGUUCCAUUCCUGCUAUGAUGUCUAUGUGGCAGUUUACCCCCGAUCAAUAAAUUCUGUAAGGACCAGAAAAGGAUUUUGCUCUUUUUGACCAUUCUGCAGGCUUUUGAUUUUUAUGUUGUCAAGACUUCUCGGAGGUUCUCAAAUGCCAGUAGUAAAAUCCUCCCCCAUAACUCUUUCCUAUGUUUUGGUCAAGCCCAUACCCAAGAAGAUGUCUUGCAUUGGGAAUAGAGGAUAUCAUCUCCCCAGAAGACAUAUGUGGAUGGAAAACUUAAGACAAAGAAUUUGCAGACAUUUUCACAAAAGGCCAUCUAGCAAAUAUUUUAGGGCUAUGGCUAUUUUGGAAGUUGUUCCAGUUUCAUUACAAUAAUUGAAAAAUAAGGAAAAGUUCUGAAACAUAGCUGUAAAAUUCAGUUGAAAUGACUUAGGAAAUGUACCAGAAAUUUAACAACAACUUGGAGGAGGCCCUUUGCAUACGUGACAUGGCUUAAAAACUCAAGCUGGGCUUAAAUUUUUCACUCUCCUGCUUACUUUGUGGAGUUGCUUAACCAAUCAGAACUCAAAAUGCUUUCUCAGCAGUAAAAUGGAAAUUAGAAUGCGUGGAUUCCAAUUAGAAUGAAUUAUCAGAGCUAGAGAAUUAAGCAAUGUAAUGCAUAUCAGAUGCUUAGCACUAUACCUGGCAUAAAGAAAGUACAGCACUUAACAUGCUAGUUUUCUGUAUUGAUUUAGUAUUGAUCAAUUUGUCAUUUAUGAAUGUAGUGACUGUAGCCAAUGAUGUAAAAAAAAAUAAUUAAAAACAUGAAUAUAGCAAGUUAAUUAAUAUAAGAGAAAGAAGCCAU
Molecule: long non-coding RNA, 2197 nt
Organism: Heterocephalus glaber (naked mole-rat)
Lineage: Eukaryota; Metazoa; Chordata; Mammalia; Rodentia; Bathyergidae
Source: Ensembl